AACUCAACUAUUCAAAAUCACUUCAAUAUGAAAUUCCAAAGAAGAUUAGGAAGAAUUAGGAGAGGGAGGUAAACUUAGGGUUAAACAUAAAUAUUAUAAUUACUUAAAUAUAAACAUAUAUAUUUUCGGUCGGGUUCGAGGAUGGGCACCCCAAUACCAUCCCCUUCCCAUACCCGUCGGGGAUUUUUCAUGUUCAGGGAUCCCCGUACUCGAUACCAAUUUGGCCCCGAAAUAUCCCCCUGUUAGGGUCGGGGACCCGCACCCAUGGGGAUAUUUGUGUUUGGGGGCUGUUGAAAAUCAUGGCCGGAUUUGAAGCUUGCGAAGAGAUAGCGGCCGGGAAGUUCGAAUGGAGCUAGAAAUCUCGGCUGGGAUUGGAGAAGUUCGCGGACAGAGGUGUUGGA
Molecule: long non-coding RNA, 401 nt
Filed under: Prunus persica (peach)
Lineage: Eukaryota; Viridiplantae; Streptophyta; Magnoliopsida; Rosales; Rosaceae
Description: long non-coding RNA (PPER_LNC004439)
Source: RNAcentral